ACUUAGCUCAGUUGGUAGAGCCUGAGAUUCUUAACCUCAGGGUUGUGGGUUCAAGUCCCACACUGGGCAAUG
Molecule: non-coding RNA, 72 nt
Organism: Podarcis lilfordi (Lilford's wall lizard)
Lineage: Eukaryota; Metazoa; Chordata; Lepidosauria; Squamata; Lacertidae
Source: the annotation of a GenBank genome assembly